This 376-nucleotide ribosomal RNA is filed under the name uncultured bacterium. RNAcentral's name for it is "bacterial SSU rRNA". It matches the Rfam family "Bacterial small subunit ribosomal RNA", at positions 521 to 896 of the family's 1533-position model. The record is from RNAcentral.
UAAUACAGAGGGUGCGAGCGUUAAUCGGAAUUACUGGGCGUAAAGCGCGCGUAGGCGGCUUUGCAAGUCGGGUGUGAAAUCCCCAGGCUUAACCUGGGAACUGCAUUCGAGACUGCAUUGCUAGAGUAUGGGAGAGGGCAGUGGAAUUUCCGGUGUAGCGGUGAAAUGCGUAGAUAUCGGAAGGAACAUCAGUGGCGAAAGCGACUGCCUGGACCAAUACUGACGCUCAUGUGCGAAAGCGUGGGGAGCAAACAGGAUUAGAUACCCUGGUAGUCCACGCCAUAAACGAUGACAACUGGAUGUCGGGAGGGUCUGCCUCUCGGUGUCGUAGCUAACGCGUUAAGUUGUCCGCCUGGGGAGUACGGCCGCAAGGUUG